GGACUACUGGGGUAUCUAAUCCUGUUCGCUCCCCUAGCUUUCGCACCUGAGCGUCAGAUCAUCGCCAGGACACUGCCUUCGCCUUUGGUGUUCUUCCGGAUCUCUACGCAUUUCACCACUCCACCCGGAAUUCCGUGUCCCUCUCGAUGCCUCAAGUCUAUCCGUUUUGAAGGCACUCUUUCGGUUUAGCCGCUAGCUGUCACCCCCAACGCGAUAGACCGCCUGCGUGCGCUUUACGCCCAGUAACUCCGGACAACGCUCGCCCCCUACGUAUUACCGCGGCUGCUGGCAC
Molecule: ribosomal RNA, 292 nt
Filed under: uncultured bacterium
Lineage: Bacteria
Description: partial 16S ribosomal RNA
Source: RNAcentral